RNAcentral lists this ribosomal RNA (480 nucleotides) under uncultured bacterium. RNAcentral describes it as "bacterial SSU rRNA". It matches the Rfam family "Bacterial small subunit ribosomal RNA", at positions 28 to 507 of the family's 1533-position model. The record is from RNAcentral.
GACGAACGCUGGCGGCGUGCUUAACACAUGCAAGUCGAACGAGAAUCUACUGAAAGAGUUUUCGGACAAUGGAUGUAGAGGAAAGUGGCGGACGGGUGAGUAACGCGUGAGGAACCUGCCUUGAANAGGGGGACAACAGUUGGAAACGACUGCUAAUACCGCAUAAGCCCACGGCUCGGCAUCGAGCAGAGGGAAAAGGAACAAUCCGCUUUGAGAUGGCCUCGCGUCCGAUUAGCUAGUUGGUGAGGUAACGGCCCACCAAGGCGACGAUCGGUAGCCGGACUGAGAGGUUGAACGGCCACAUUGGGACUGAGACACGGCCCAGACUCCUACGGGAGGCAGCAGUGGGGAAUAUUGCACAAUGGGGGAAACCCUGAUGCAGCGACGCCGCGUGGAGGAAGAAGGUCUUCGGAUUGUAAACUCCUGUUGUUGGGGAAGAUAAUGACGGUACCCAACAAGGAAGUGACGGCUAACUACGUG